GACGAACGCUGGCGGCGUGCUUAACACAUGCAAGUCGAACGGUAAGGCCCUUCGGGGUACACGAGUGGCGAACGGGUGAGUAACACGUGGGUGAUCUGCCCUGCACUUCGGGAUAAGCCUGGGAAACUGGGUCUAAUACCGGAUAGGACCACUGCCUGCAUGGGUGGUGGUGGAAAGCUUUUGCGGUGUGGGAUGGGCCCGCGGCCUAUCAGCUUGUUGGUGGGGUGAUGGCCUACCAAGGCGACGACGGGUAGCCGGCCUGAGAGGGUGACCGGCCAAACUGGGACUGAGAUAUGGCCCAGACUCCUACGGGAGGCAGCAGUGGGGAAUACUGCACAAUGGGCGCAAGCCUGAUGCAGCGACGCCGCGUGAGGGAUGACGGCCUUCGGGUUGUAAACCUCUUUCAGCACCGACGAAGCGCAAGUGACGGUAGGUGCAGAAGAAGGACCGGCCAACUACGUGCCAGCAGCCGCCGUAA
RNAcentral lists this ribosomal RNA (478 nucleotides) under uncultured bacterium. RNAcentral's name for it is "partial 16S ribosomal RNA". It matches the Rfam family "Bacterial small subunit ribosomal RNA", at positions 28 to 523 of the family's 1533-position model. The record is from RNAcentral.